UUUUUUCCAACUUCCCCCUUUCUGAACAUUACAGAACAUCGUAUCUCUCUGUGGAGUUACUCUCUUAUGGCUUGCACAAGCACCUGGUGAGCAGAGGGUUAGCACUUUACUGCCUCAACUGUGGUGCUACUGAGCAUAAUCCAUAAACAGAGAAGUGAUUAACUUCUUUUGGUACAAGUAUAUUACAUACAAACACUGAUGGAAGAUCAUACAAAUGCUCUUCUCCUAACUGUCCUGCACAUAGAAGGGUGAAAUUUAUAUCCCAUCUCUACCAGCAUCCUACAGGCUGCAAGUUUGAAUAUAGAAAAAUGAUGACAAAACUUGCACACGGGAAAUAGAAAAGUAAACUUUGAAGGUAAAUAUCUGAAAUCCUGUUACAAAAGCAUCUGAAAAAAAGCUAUUCUCUGAUUUCUCAGGAACUGGUUGCAACUCUAUGUUUUCUAAUACUGAUAACUUGCUCUAGAUGAAAUGCAAGAGGUGAUACUGAAAUAAAACUGAAUGCAAUACCAUUUACAAUGUUGGAGUAAUUUGCAAUCAGUCUGGAACAAGUUUAUUUUCCUGGCAGCAGCAGGAGCUGUAGCUAGCAGCCCAUGGAAGGUGGCAAACAAGUCUUCCUUCCUCUCUCCUGGAGGAGAAUUGUAACAGUUCUCACAGUGACUCCCUGGCACCUUCCCAGCUAUUCCAAUGUAUUUACAGAGGACAGCAACUGGGGUAACAACUGGCUCAAGAACAGUGCCUGUAUUAAUCUAUGAACCUGUUGUGGCUAGAAAAGUUUAUAGGACAUAAAUUAUUACUUGUGGGGUAUAAAGGAUUUAAAAAAACUUAAUGUCAGAAUCUCUAAGAAGGGUGGCAUCUGGCAAACCUCUAGGAAAAUGUGAGAUGUGUGUGCAUAUGUAUUCCACAAACCUACUACCACUCAGGUAACUUUCCAGCUCCCACAGGCUUGAAUGUUUAUGAUCAGGCCCAGCCACAGCAACAUUUAGAAGUUGCAAUCAGUUUGUUUUAGCCCCAGCAAACCAUGUUUUUGGUGGGUGAAGGCCAUCUGCCCUAAGAACUGCAGAGGCUGCACAUCAGAGCAUGCCUCGACAGCUUUGCUUUGUGCCUGUGCUCACCUCUUCCAGCACAGGGAAAUCCUUGUGGCAGCACUUCCCACUGCAGUUCAGCAGGAUGUAAAAAGCUUCUUUGAAGCAGAAAAUGCUGGGAGCUGGCAGAGAUUAUUUUACUUCUCAUUGUAACAAUGUGGGUUUUUAUCUUUGCACGCUGGUAGAAGGAAUCAGAUUAUUAUCUCUGAAUUUUAGUUUUCAGAUUACAAGAGGCUUAUCUUGAAAACAUAAAUCAAAGUAUGCUCCAAAAAACCUAAAAUUUUAAUGUUAAAAUCAAUCUAUUGUGAUUUUUAUUGUUGUCACAAAAGUCAGGGUUUAGACGUAAUAUUGGAUAGAACUGUGUCAGUGGUUCUGAAGACCAUACUUGUGAGAAGCUGUGUAUCUACUGCCUGCAGUCUUGUGACAAAAAGGGGAUUUUUUGAAGAGUAUUUAUUCAUAUUCUGGCUCUGGUUCUGGAACCCAGGCAAGCAGUUUUGGUGUUCCCCACCUGUGUCCGUGGGUGUGCAAUGGCUGAUGAAGCAGAGUUUAGAGGAACACAUUAAAUUAUGUGAUUUUUUUUAAACCCUAACCCUCCAUCCCCCAAAUCCAGAGUUUUGUGGUGUCCUGGACACAUAGGAGAUACUUCAACUUGUCAUGUUAUCAUUCAAUAUUGCUGCUCUUGCUGCAGAUGAAAACAGUGGCAGAUCUUUUUGCAUUUCAUGCUCUUUCAAUACACUGAGCUCUGCAGAAUGGAAGAAAGCUUGGGAGAAAUCUCAGAUUUUGUGGAUUUGGAGGUGGUGUCACACUCACACAUCUGCCUUUUCAAUACAGUCAGCCAGGGUCUUUGCUCACAUCAUGUUUAAAAAGGAAGCAGUAGCUCUAAUGGGGGAAAAUCAACAAAACCCAGUGGCAUCCCCAGAUGUCCACCCUCCAUUCAGCGGCUGACAAAUGUGGGCAGAUGGCACAAGUGCUCCCGGAUGUAUUUACAGAUCAAUGUAAAUGUAAAUAAAUAACUAGCAGCAAAUGCAGGCACCUACCCUGCUGCUGGUGCCUUGGUGGCACUAAUGACUCUGACCUGACUGGAAACAUGGAGCAAGAAAGAAUUUGCUUGAAGUUACUUGUCCUAAUGGACAGAAGGGAAAUGGCAAAUCUUAAAAGCUCAAGCUCCUUUUAUUCCUAAGGAGAAGUUCAGAGACAGGUAAAUGCAUUAGUGAGUGUUUUUGCCACCUCCUUCACCCUGGGUGCAGUGAUCCUACCUCAGUGUAAGGUGGGAUCUCAUUUUCCCACCCUCCAAAAGUAAGAAAAUGUUGAGCAAUGUGUAGUCUCACCAGAUGCUGCGAGCUUGACAAAAUUCACUGGUUUUUCUCUGCAACAAAUUCUCCAUUUUCUAACAAUGGGAGAAGAAGGGAAAGAUGUGUUUGGCUUUUUUAUUUCCCCAUGCAGCAGCAGUUGCUUCACAGUGGUGCUGGUGGCAGGGACCCUGUGGGAGGCUGUUCCCCCCUCUCACUGCAUCUCACCAAGCUUCACUCUGGGGUUUUGCUAAAACAAUGAAGGAGCACUGACCUAUCAAAGCACGGUUUUACAGGUUUCUUGUUUUAGAGAAGGUUUGUCAUCCCUUAAAACUAAUGGGAAAAAAAAUCUGUAAAACAUUUUCCAGUGAUAUUAUUUUAACAGCCGUCAUUAUGACAUGGUCUAUAAGCACCUGUAGGCACUGUGUCUGCCACUGAAAGACCAUGUUGUCUAAACAGAAGUGUUGUCUUGGAAGCUUCCAGGUGGGCAGAAACAACCCCAGUAUUUCCCAGCUUACCUUAAAAGCAAGACAGCCUCACUUGCUUGGCCCUCCAUUCCCUACUUGAGUUUUGAUGUUGUCAUGUCCUCUCCAAAACCAGUAACACAUAAACUUGUACUUGUGACUGAUAAACAUUACUUGUGAGAUGGCUCAAAUACUUGAAACACCUCAGUAAAGGCUGUCAGAAACAUUAUUCUCUGGAAAAUCCAGGUUAAAAUUUUUGCCCUGUGAAGUCUAUGACAACAACCUAUUACUCAGACUGAAAAAAAAAAAAAGUGUGUAGGAAUGCUUUGAAGACCCACAGAUACCAGCUGUGCA
Molecule: long non-coding RNA, 3189 nt
Organism: Passer domesticus (house sparrow)
Lineage: Eukaryota; Metazoa; Chordata; Aves; Passeriformes; Passeridae
Exons: 3
Source: RefSeq, a predicted model, not a curated record